This 408-nucleotide ribosomal RNA is filed under the name uncultured bacterium. RNAcentral describes it as "bacterial SSU rRNA". It matches the Rfam family "Bacterial small subunit ribosomal RNA", at positions 1097 to 1503 of the family's 1533-position model. The record is from RNAcentral.
CGCAACCCCUGCUUUCAGUUACCAACGGGUCAUGCCGGGAACUCUGGAGGGACUGCCCAGGAGAACGGGGAGGAAGGUGGGGAUGACGUCAAGUCAGCAUGGCCUUUAUGCCUGGGGCUACACACGUGCUACAAUGGCCGGUACAAAGCGCUGCAAACCCGUAAGGGGGAGCCAAUCACAAAAAACCGGCCUCAGUUCAGAUUGAGGUCUGCAACUCGACCUCAUGAAGGCGGAAUCGCUAGUAAUCCCGGAUCAGCACGCCGGGGUGAAUACGUUCCCGGGCCUUGUACACACCGCCCGUCACACCACGAAAGUUUGUUGUACCUGAAGUCGUUGGCGCCAACCGCAAGGAGGCAGACGCCCACGGUAUGACAGAUGAUUGGGGUGAAGUCGUAACAAGGUAAAGGG